RNAcentral lists this ribosomal RNA (493 nucleotides) under uncultured bacterium. RNAcentral describes it as "partial 16S ribosomal RNA". It matches the Rfam family "Bacterial small subunit ribosomal RNA", at positions 30 to 523 of the family's 1533-position model. The record is from RNAcentral.
AUUGAACGCUGGCGGCAUGCCUUACACAUGCAAGUCGAACGGUAACAGGUUAAGCUGACGAGUGGCGAACGGGUGAGUAAUAUAUCGGAACGUGCCCAGUCGUGGGGGAUAACGUAGCGAAAGCUACGCUAAUACCGUAUACGAUCUACGGAUGAAAGCGGGUGAUCGCAAGACCUCGCGCGAUUGGAGCGGCCGAUAUCAGAUUAGGUUGUUGGUGAGGUAAAAGCUCACCAAGCCUGCGAUCUGUAGCUGGUCUGAGAGGACGACCAGCCACACUGGAACUGAGACACGGUCCAGACUCCUACGGGAGGCAGCAGUGGGGAAUUUUGGACAAUGGACGCAAGUCUGAUCCAGCAAUGCCGCGUGCAGGACGAAGGCCUUCGGGUUGUAAACUGCUUUUGUACGGAACGAAACGGUGAGCUCUAAUACAGUUUGCUAAUGACGGUACCGUAAGAAUAAGCACCGGCUAACUACGUGCCAGCCGCCGCAGUAA